This 71-nucleotide transfer RNA is filed under the name Loxodonta africana (African savanna elephant). It matches the Rfam family "tRNA". From Rfam's summary of the family: Transfer RNA (tRNA) molecules are approximately 80 nucleotides in length. Their secondary structure includes four short double-helical elements and three loops (D, anti-codon, and T loops). The record is from Rfam by way of RNAcentral. Lineage: Eukaryota; Metazoa; Chordata; Mammalia; Proboscidea; Elephantidae.
ACAGUGGUAGUUCAGUGGUAGAAUUCUCACUUCUCAUGCGGGAGACCCAGGUUCAAUUCCCAGCUAAUUUA